Long non-coding RNA from Homo sapiens (human), 541 nucleotides. RefSeq lists it as uncharacterized. The record is from RefSeq and is a predicted model, not a curated record. Lineage: Eukaryota; Metazoa; Chordata; Mammalia; Primates; Hominidae. The transcript is spliced from 5 exons.
CUGAAGAACCUGGAGUCCAUUGUUCGAGGACAGGAAUCAUCCAGCAUGGGAAAAAGAUGUAGGCCAGGGGGCUAGGCCAGUCUCUCUUUUCACAUUUUUCUGCCUGCUUAUAUUCUAGCCACACUGGCAGCUGAUUAGAUUGUGCCCACCCAGAUUAUGAGUGGGUCUGAGACAAAGAUCUGGACAAACAUCUGAACACAGUUUCCUAUACCUCCUACUGGAAGUGUCCUGUAUAUGCCAUUUUUCACUAAAAAGGAGCAGACAGCAGCAAUAUGUAACUUCAAUCUGAAAUACGAAAUGCAAGAUGAGUCUGAAGUACAAAAAGACAAAAAGACUGGGAAAACUCUGAGAUCUAAUAAAGACAAGCCUUUUGCACAGCUUUACCAAGAAACCAAGAGACAUAUGUCACCCAGCCAUGUCAUGUUAAUGUAGCAACCAAGAAAGAAGAAGAGGCAAAAAAGGGUACUGCAUGUGAUAUCAGGAUUAACAGUUUUUACCUCUGAAAAACAGGGCACUAGUUUUUCACCCUUCAAUAUCUGAG